Molecule: ribosomal RNA, 450 nt
Filed under: uncultured bacterium
Lineage: Bacteria
Description: partial 16S ribosomal RNA
Rfam family: Bacterial small subunit ribosomal RNA
Source: RNAcentral
GUGGGGAAUAUUGGACAAUGGGCGAAAGCCUGAUCCAGCCAUGCCGCGUGUGUGAAGAAGGUCUUCGGAUUGUAAAGCACUUUAAGUUGGGAGGAAGGGCAGUAAGCUAAUACCUUGCUGUUUUGACGUUACCGACAGAAUAAGCACCGGCUAACUUCGUGCCAGCAGCCGCGGUAAUACGAAGGGUGCAAGCGUUAAUCGGAAUUACUGGGCGUACAGCGCGCGUAGGUGGUUCAGCAAGUUGGAGGUGAAAUCACCGGGCUCAACCUGGGAACUGCAUCCAAAACUACUGGGCUAGAGUACGGUAGAGGGGAGUGGAAUUUCCUGUGUAGCGGUGAAAUGCGUAGAUAUAGGAAGGAACACCAGUGGCGAAGGCGACUACCUGGACUGAUACUGACACUGAGGUGCGAAAGCGUGGGGAGCAAACAGGAUUAGAAACCCCAGUAGUCC